Molecule: ribosomal RNA, 253 nt
Filed under: uncultured prokaryote
Description: partial 16S ribosomal RNA
Rfam family: Bacterial small subunit ribosomal RNA
Source: RNAcentral
ACGUAGGGACCAAGCGUUGUUCGGAUUUACUGGGCGUAAAGGGCGCGUAGGCGGCGUGUUAAGUCAGCUGUGAAAUCUCCGAACUUAACUCGGAACGGUCAGCUGAUACUGAUGUGCUAGAGUGCAGAAGGGGCAAUCGGAAUUCUUGGUGUAGCGGUGAAAUGCGCAGAUAUCAGGAGGAACACCGGUGGCGAAAGCGGUGGUCUGGGCCGGAACUGACGCUGAGGAGCGAAAGCGUGGGGAGCGAACAGGA